UUGCUCCAAUAUAUUGCACUAAGAUAAAUCUUGAAAGAAUAUUGGGAAAAUAUAUUUGAUAUAAAUCUCCAUCUAUCAUUAAUUGUGUUGAGCCAACUUAUUUACAGCUCAGUACGCUGAUUAUCAAUUGAAGGAUUAUUUUUUUCCAAUAUUAGGGGGAGAUAAUAAGCAGCUGGAAAUGUGAACCUGAAGUUCAAAUAAAUAUUAUUGUCUCAUCUUGAUCCUCAAGAUAUAACUCAUUUGCAAAGUCAAACAAAUUAAAUAUCAGCUACUAAUGCUCCAUGCAAAUGAGUCUCAAUCGUGCCUGAAGCAUGGUAGAUCAAUCGGUUCCAAAUAUAAAAAGCAUCGAAUAAGAAAAGAAGCUUAAAGGAAUGAUAACUCAAACGAGGAUAUAGAAACUCUAAAAGAGUUUUCUGACAUAAUUGAUUUUUUUUAUGUUCCAGAAGAACUUAUCAGGUACCUGAAAUGUAUGAAAAAGAAAGAGAUAUCGAUAAAUUAUGUCAUGAAUUGAUGAGAUGGAACCGAAAUAAAGUC
RNAcentral lists this long non-coding RNA (534 nucleotides) under Medicago truncatula (barrel medic). RNAcentral's name for it is "lncRNA gene21970". The record is from RNAcentral. Lineage: Eukaryota; Viridiplantae; Streptophyta; Magnoliopsida; Fabales; Fabaceae.